UAUCAAUAAGCGGAGGAAAAGAAACCAACCGGGAUUGCCUCAGUAACUGCGAGUGAAGUGGCAAAAGCUCAAAUUUGAAAUCCGGUACCUUUUGGUGCCUGAGUUGUAAUUUGGAGAGACAAAUUUGGUUGAUGGCGCCGGCCUAGGUUCCUUUGAACAGGACAACAUAGAGGGUGAGAAUCCCGUUCCUGGCUGGAUGACCCGUCACAUUUCUAAAUUGUCUUCGACGAGUCGAGUUGUUUGGGAAUGCAGCUCAAAAUGGGUGGUAAAUGUCAUCUAAAGCUAAAUAUUGGCGAGAGACCGAUAGCGCACAAGUAGAGUGAUCGAAAGAUGAAAAGCACUUUGAAAAGAGAGUCAAAAAGUACGUGAAAUUGCUGAAAGGGAAGCGCUUGAGACCAGACUCGAACCGUGGUAAUCAGCCGUGCUUCUGUGCGGUGUCACUUGCCACGGUUUGGGCCAGCAUCGGUUCUGGCGGUCGGAUAAAAGGUGGAGGAAUGUAGCUUCCUUCGGGGAGUGUUAAUUUAGCCUCCACCACAAUGCGGCCAGCUGGGACCGAGGACCGCGCUUUGGCUAGGAUGCUGGCGUAAUGGUCUUAAGCGACCCGUCUUGAAACACGGACCAAGGAGUCUAACAUCUAUGCGAGUGUUCGGGUGGAAAAACCCUUGCGCGAAAUGAAAGUGAACGGAGGUGGGAACCCGCAAGGGUGCACCAUCGACCGAUCCCGAAGUCUUCGGAAGGAUUUGAGUAGGAGCACAGAUGUUGGGACCCGAAAGAUGGUGAACUAUGCCUGAAUAGGGUGAAGCCAGAGGAAACUCUGGUGGAGGCUCGCAGCGGUUCUGACGUGCAAAUCGAUCGUCAAAUUUGGGUAUAGGGGCGAAAGACUAAUCGAACCAUCUAGUAGCUGGUUCCUGCCGAA
This 916-nucleotide ribosomal RNA is filed under the name Genea arenaria. RNAcentral's name for it is "eukaryotic LSU rRNA". It matches the Rfam family "Eukaryotic large subunit ribosomal RNA", at positions 41 to 965 of the family's 3401-position model. Lineage: Eukaryota; Fungi; Ascomycota; Pezizomycetes; Pezizales; Pyronemataceae. The record is from RNAcentral.